Molecule: unclassified non-coding RNA, 265 nt
Filed under: uncultured fungus
Lineage: Eukaryota; Fungi
Description: sequence contains ITS1, 5.8S rRNA gene
Rfam family: 5.8S ribosomal RNA (bases 217-265)
Source: RNAcentral
UUUCCGUAGGUAUGUAUUAAAAAUCCCAUCCCUAAAAUAAUAAAGUCAACAUAUACUAACAUAUCUUCUAGGUGAACCUGCGGAAGGAUCAUUAAUGAUUGACCCUCUGGGUCUUAUCUUAACAUCCCUCACCUCUGUGAACCGUUUGACCUCCGGGUCUUACAACCUAUAACAAACAUCAGUGUAAAGAACGUCUUGUUAUCUUAACAAAAACAAAACUUUCAACAACGGAUCUCUUGGCUCUCGCAUCGAUGAAGAACGCAGC